GGCGUCCUGUAGUUGCAAAAUAUCGAAUAAUAUAUAUUUUUGAAAAUAUUAUGUAAAAGAUUUGUAUUUUACAAAUUUACCAAGAAGUACGUGAGUUGCGGUAGGAAUUAAGAUUUUUCUAUACUUUGUAAAUUCAUAAAAGUCGGUAUAUAAAUUUGAAAAGAAAAUCAGAUUUCAUAAUUUGAAAAACGUGUAGACAGACAGAUGGGAGAGGCGUAUUGAUUUUGUAACAGUUUCUGGAAAUUUUUCUUAAAAGCUAGCAAAAUCAUUUUGCAAACUUCAUCCUGUUUAUGUAUGAGAUACAAAUAUUCGUUUGAUAUUAUAUUUAUUAAAGUUGACGACUUUUCUGAUCUAGAAACUUAUUUAUUUGAGUCGUAUAAAUUUAUAAUUUUCUGAAAUUGGCAUCACCGUCACAUAAAUAUUGUUCGUAUCCACCAAGCGUUCAUAAAGUGUUUGUAAAAUCGGUUUUUUAAUUUUUUUUAUCGAAACGUAUUCUCCCCAACCUUUUUAGUUUUCAAAAUUCUGAUAACAAAUAAAUAAGUUUCCAAUUUCCAAUUUUAAUUUGUAAAAAAGUGUAACAAACUAUGCAAAUAAGAGCAAUUUUUAAUUUCACUUGCAAAUUAUGUAACGAGUUACAAAGAUAAAUCACAUAACGGUAAAAAUAACUAGCAGAUUUUUUUUAACACUUGCAACUUUUUUUUUCAAAUUAUCACAAUUCUUAGAGGAGGAUGGACGAUCUACCAACAGCCUUUGCACAUCAUAUACGGUGUUAAAAUUGUGGAAAAGCCACUCGUACAUUUUUUGUCCAAUAGUUUGAUGCCAUCGGUGCUGGUUAUAUACAAAUAUGCAGGUAAGUUUGAAAAAUCCUUAAAUUUUGAAAAAAUAAUUUUAGAAACUUUUACAAAAUAAAAAAGACGCCUUUGAUCUGGCCAAGUUUACAAAAAUUUGUAAGGUCAUUGUUCCUUAAAAUAUUUGACAAAGUUUGUGAAUUUACGGAUUUUACGAAGUUGCCAAGGCCUGAAUGAACUGCCGCAGCAGAGUUUUCUUUUUAUAAAUGGUCCAUUGCCAAUUUUAGAUAACUAUAUUUCUUAAUACUAUGUGGAUAAUUUUGUCAAAAUUUCUACCACAAGUAAAAAGAUACCACUAUUUUUUAAGGUACAAUUCAAAAAAUUGCAAAAAAAUUGCUUGCGGUUUUGUCUGUUUCGGAGAUAUUUUCUAUUUAAAUAUUCGUAUUUACUUACUUGUUUUUGUGUAUUGUUUCCGCGUAGAGUUUUUUCUAAGGUGUGCUUGCUGUGUGUGUGUGUGUUCAUCUGUAGUAGGUAUACUCUGCUGCGAAGAAGCCAUAAUGGCAGAUAUACCAAUGGUAUUAAACAGGACUGUUUUGCAAGGAAUAAAUAUUAAUUCAUAAGCAUUAUUGUGGAAGAGGGAAAUCAGUUGGUUUUUCGAGUUUGGUUUGGUUUGAUAUUCUGUAAAUAAACAACAACACAUAAAUAUUAGUAAGUCACGAGUUCGAAUCCCAGCAGCAUUUCCAAAAACCCACAAUCACCUACACAGACCACUCGAACAACAAGCCAUGGUUGAAAUUGGAUGGAGUUCACCUUUUAUUUAUGCGUGUGUCUCAAUUUGUGCCAAGCAAGUAAAUAAGUAGAAAGUAUUUACAAAAAUAGAUUAGGGGUAUGAUUUAAAAUUAUAUUUAUAUGUAAAUGCAUUUAUAUUUAUUUAAUUAUUGGUGAAAAUAUCACGUUUUCAUAUUCUUCAAGAGAGCGAAAAAAUAUUUAAGUUAUGUUUUACGGUUGUAAUUUUUAAUUGGAGUUAAAUCAAAUUCGGACAGAAUAAUAAACACAAAGUUGAAUAUCUUAAA
Long non-coding RNA from Folsomia candida, 1861 nucleotides. RefSeq lists it as uncharacterized. The transcript is spliced from 2 exons. The record is from RefSeq and is a predicted model, not a curated record. NCBI's taxonomy places the organism in Eukaryota, Metazoa, Arthropoda, Collembola, Entomobryomorpha, Isotomidae.